GAAGUGCUGUGGAACAUCAGAUAGAAUGGAUAGCACAGCCCAAAUUUUACAAAAAGGAUUUUAAAGGAAGAUCUCAAUGGUGGAACACUAGAGGCUUUCCUGCUAAAGUUAAGAACAAGAAAAGGCUGAUGCAGCUUUGGCAUGCAGGAAGUGUUGGAGCUGAGACUCGAAACUGUCCCCCAGGCCUUGGCCAUGCUGAUAAAUAUCUAGGCCCUACAGGAGUUCGUGUCCAUGAACCCAGUAAACGCAAUUCCUCAGCCUUAAAA
Pan troglodytes (chimpanzee) is the source of this 266-nucleotide long non-coding RNA. RefSeq lists it as uncharacterized. The transcript has 2 exons. NCBI's taxonomy places the organism in Eukaryota, Metazoa, Chordata, Mammalia, Primates, Hominidae. The record is from RefSeq and is a predicted model, not a curated record.